RNAcentral lists this small nuclear RNA (150 nucleotides) under Pteropus alecto (black flying fox). Its description in RNAcentral is "U2 spliceosomal RNA". It matches the Rfam family "U2 spliceosomal RNA". From Rfam's summary of the family: U2 is a small nuclear RNA (snRNA) component of the spliceosome (involved in pre-mRNA splicing). Complementary binding between U2 snRNA (in an area lying towards the 5' end but 3' to hairpin I) and the branchpoint sequence (BPS) of the intron results the bulging out of an unpaired adenosine, on the BPS, which initiates a nucleophilic attack at the intronic 5' splice site, thus starting the first of two transesterification reactions that mediate splicing. Lineage: Eukaryota; Metazoa; Chordata; Mammalia; Chiroptera; Pteropodidae. The record is from Rfam by way of RNAcentral.
AUCGCUUCUGGGCCUUUUGGUUAAGAUCAAAUGUAGUCUCUGUUCUUAUCAGUAUAGCAUAAGCAAAUCUUGUCUCUCUAGGUUUCAACUGUAGUUCUGACUCAGUGUUUCCUGUAUUAAAAGAAGGCAAAGGUGGGGUUAUGACCUGAA